GAUGAAGAACGUAGCGAAAUGCGAUACUUGGUGUGAAUUGCAGAAUCCCGUGAACCAUCGAGUCUUUGAACGCAAGUUGCGCCCGAAGCCGUCAGGCCGAGGGCACGCCUGCCUGGGCGUCACACGCCGUUGCCCCCCCGCGCCCCGCACCCAACGCUUUGGGAGCGACCGCGGGGCGGGCUGAUGAUGGCCUCCCGUGCGCUCCGCCGCGCGGUUGGCCCAAAUACCGAGUCCCCGGCGACGUGCGCCACGACGAUCGGUGGUUGAGAGACCUCUGUCGCAAGUCGUGCGCGCCCGUCGCGUCACGCGGGCUCGCAUAGCGCCUCGCGCCGCACCCGGUGCGGAGCUUUCAACGCGACCCCAGGUCAGGCGGGGUUACCCUCUGAAUUUAAGCAUAUCAAUAAGCGGAGGA
Molecule: unclassified non-coding RNA, 412 nt
Filed under: soil metagenome
Description: partial contains 5.8S ribosomal RNA, internal transcribed spacer 2, and large subunit ribosomal RNA
Rfam family: 5.8S ribosomal RNA (bases 1-122)
Source: RNAcentral